This 254-nucleotide ribosomal RNA is filed under the name uncultured bacterium. Its description in RNAcentral is "partial 16S ribosomal RNA". It matches the Rfam family "Bacterial small subunit ribosomal RNA", at positions 524 to 776 of the family's 1533-position model. The record is from RNAcentral.
UACAGAGGGGGCAAGCGUUGUUCGGAAUUACUGGGCGUAAAGGGCGCGUAGGCGGCCCGCUAAGUCGAACGUGAAAUCCCCGAGCUCAACUCGGGAACUGCGUCCGAUACUGGCGGGCUUGAAUCCGGGAGAGGGAUGCGGAAUUCCAGGUGUAGCGGUGAAAUGCGUAGAUAUCUGGAGGAACACCGGUGGCGAAGGCGGCAUCCUGGACCACGACUGACGCUGAGUGAGCGAAAGCCAGGGGAGCAAACGGG